GACGAACGCUGGCGGCGUGCUUAACACAUGCAAGUCGAACGGAAAGGCCCUGCUUUUGUGGGGUGCUCGAGUGGCGAACGGGUGAGUAACACGUGAGUAACCUGCCCUUGACUUUGGGAUAACUUCAAGAAACUGGGGCUAAUACCGGAUAGGAGCUCCUGCUGCAUGGUGGGGGUUGGAAAGUUUCGGCGGUUGGGGAUGGACUCGCGGCUUAUCAGCUUGUUGGUGGGGUAGUGGCUUACCAAGGCUUUGACGGGUAGCCGGCCUGAGAGGGUGACCGGCCACAUUGGGACUGAGAUACGGCCCAGACUCCUACGGGAGGCAGCAGCGGGGAAUAUUGCACAAUGGGCGGAAGCCUGAUGCAGCAACGCCGCGUGCGGGAUGACGGCCUUCGGGUUGUAAACCGCUUUCGCCUGUGACGAAGCGUGAGUGACGGUAAUGGGUAAAGAAGCACCGGCUAACUACGUG
RNAcentral lists this ribosomal RNA (468 nucleotides) under uncultured bacterium. Its description in RNAcentral is "partial 16S ribosomal RNA". It matches the Rfam family "Bacterial small subunit ribosomal RNA", at positions 28 to 507 of the family's 1533-position model. The record is from RNAcentral.